Molecule: signal recognition particle RNA, 315 nt
Filed under: Methanosalsum natronophilum
Lineage: Archaea; Methanobacteriati; Methanobacteriota; Methanomicrobia; Methanosarcinales; Methanosarcinaceae
Description: signal recognition particle sRNA
Rfam family: Archaeal signal recognition particle RNA
Source: RNAcentral
UGGUGGGCUAGUCCGGGUAGUUCGGCAUUACCUGUAACCUGAAAUCGCCGAUAUGCAGGGGACGAAGCCAAUGGAAGGUUUUUCAAGCAGCUAUAGGCCUGGAAUCUCAACUGAGAAGCUCCGUCCUGCUUGGACAGUGUGGAUAUAGGGGCUUGCUGGAAAGCAGGUUUCUAUAUCUUAACUGCAGGAACCGGUCAAGGCCCGGAAGGGAGCAGACCAACUGCAGACUCUUGUCGCUUGCAGGGUAACGGGGUGGAGACGAGUUUCCAGAUAACCUAUAGCUGUAAGGAGAACCGACCUGCGGCGUGCCCACUA